AGCAGCCGCGGUAAUUCCAGCUCCAAUAGCGUAUAUUAAAGUUGUUGCAGUUAAAAAGCUCGUAGUUGAAUUUCGGGAUCAAUGCGUCGGUCGUGCUUUCGGGUACGUACUGGUGUCAUUGGUUUCUCCUUUCUGACGAGCCGUGAUGUCAUUAAUUUGGUGUUACGGGUAGUUGGGACUGUUACUUUGAAAAAAUUAGAGUGUUUAAAGCAGGCAUUCGCUUGAAUACAUUAGCAUGGAAUAAUGAAAUAGGACGUUUGACCCUAUUUUGUUGGUUUCUAGGAUCAACGUAAUGAUUAAUAGGGAUAAUUGGGGGCAUUAGUAUUCAAUUGUCAGAGGUGAAAUUCUUGGAUUUAUUGAAGACUAACUACUGCGAAAGCAUUUGCCAAGGAUGUUUUCAUUAAUCAAGAACGAAAGUUAGGGGAUCGAAGACGAUCAGAUACCGUCGUAGUCUUAACCAUAAACUAUGCCGACUAGGGAUCGGAUGAUGUUAAUUUUUUAAUGACUCAUUCGGCGCCUU
Molecule: ribosomal RNA, 520 nt
Filed under: uncultured Glomus
Lineage: Eukaryota; Fungi; Glomeromycota; Glomeromycetes; Glomerales; Glomeraceae
Description: SSU rRNA
Rfam family: Eukaryotic small subunit ribosomal RNA
Source: RNAcentral